Molecule: long non-coding RNA, 1233 nt
Filed under: Apteryx haastii (Great spotted kiwi)
Lineage: Eukaryota; Metazoa; Chordata; Aves; Apterygiformes; Apterygidae
Description: lncRNA (ENSAHAG00000014495.1)
Source: RNAcentral
AUGCGAAACGCCGGUUUAUCGCGCUGGGAACGGCGUUUGCAUGCACGUUUCCCUGUUCCCUCGGCGCUCCGCAAUCGGCCGGUGUAUCAGCGCGGGUCUGAACGCGGCACCGGCGCCGGGAGGCGGUCGGUGCCUCCAGCCGGCGGAAGGGGGCUUUCCCGGCUUCGGAGGGCUUUGGGAAGCGGAGUGGAGCAGCGGCGGCUGGCCGGGGGGCUCCGGGGCGCCAGACCCAAACCCCCGGCAGUGGCAGCGCACCGCCUGCCGAGAGCAGCGCCAGGGCCGGAAUCACCCCGGAGCUCCUGCUUUUCCCCCUUUUCUAGCAAAGCGGGAAUUUAUGCCCCCAGGCUGCAAGUUACUGCGCAAACGGAGCCGCCCGUCAUUUUGGGCCAUGUUUCGCGUGCUCCGUGCYGGGAAGAGGGCAGCCGGCUCCGGCGUCGCCGUGGCCUCCUCGCUGCUGGGGCUUCGCCUCCGCCCUGGGAUGCAUCCCGGUCCCUCCACGGCGGCGGCACCAGCGCGAAGCUUCGCCCCGUCCGCGGAGCGGCGGCGCUUUGCCGUGUGGCAGGACCGGCCUUCCCCAGCGCCGCAGCUCCCCGGAACGUGCGGUUCAACCGCGGUCCGGACCCGCGGCACGGAAGGAGCCUGCUCCCGACGGCGCCGUUUGCAAGCAGGAAGGGAAACGAAUGUUUUCCUAUAAAGGAGUUUACGCCGGGUAUAAAUUUGAAUGGCAGAAGCUUAAUAUAUUGUAGGCAGAAGCUGYUCCAUCAUUCUGGGGCUAUUAAAAUUUUUAAUCAAAGAUUUUUGCUAUUAAGCUGCCCGGGGUUGGCAGAAGUUUGUUGUUAUUAUAGGUUAAAAUCCACCGCGGUCCAAACAGAUAGGAAAUUAAUUUCCGACGGCAAAGGAGCCGCGGGGCCGGUGCCGGGGGAGCGUUGUGGCAGGCGCCCGAACGCCAGCCCUGCGGGCGCCCUCCUGCCCGGCGGGGCCACACGCGUGGCGCUCGCUCCGGCGCGGAGCCCGGCCGGUCGAUCGGUGCUGCCCAGGGGCCGCGCGGUGCCCGGCCGCCCGCCAGCGUCGGCAGCAGCGGAGACGACGGAGGCGCCUCUCGGGGCCAGGGGGACGGUCUCCCUCCUGAGUAACUGCACCCGCGCUUUUAAUUUAGGCGCCACAACGGCCGUAAAGCCUGCAAAGCAGUUCUUCAUCUCAGUAAUUCAUCUCCCCAACUUUUACUGUGAUUGA